This 169-nucleotide unclassified non-coding RNA is filed under the name uncultured Helotiales. Its description in RNAcentral is "sequence contains ITS1". The record is from RNAcentral. Lineage: Eukaryota; Fungi; Ascomycota; Leotiomycetes; Helotiales.
CCGAGUUCAUGCCCUUGCGGGUAGAUCUCCCACCCUAUGUUAUAUAUUACCUUUGUUGCUUUGGCAGGCCGUCAGGCUUCGGUCAGGCUACCGGCUCCGGCUGGUAAGCGCCUGCCAGAGGACCCUAAACUCUGAAUAUUAGUGUUGUCCGAGUACUAUAAAAUAGUUA